CUCAGGACUAGCACGUGGCGAGAGGAGCAACCAGCUUCUGCGGGAGCUCAGCGAUGGCGGGGCUGUGCAAGGAGGAGGAGGAGGAGGUUGGACUGUUCCACGUUCUUCCGAUGAGCUGCUCCUCAGAUCCGGGGUUUGCUGAGCAACGAAAAAUAGAAACGACUGGAAGACACAGAGCAUCCCCACCAUGACAGGCAUCUGAGGUCCUCCCCUUGAGGAGCUGAAGUUCAUUUUGGUCACAGGGGUGCAUUUCUGAGUAAGCAAGUUUGCGGAGCAACGGAAAAUAGAAACACCUGGAAGACGCAGAGCAUCCCCACCGUUACAGACACCCGAGGUCCUCCCGUUGAGGAGCUGAAGUUCAUUUUGGUCCCAGGGGUGUAUUUCUGAGUAAGCAAGUUUGCUGAGCAACGAAAAAUAGAAACGACUUGAAGACACAGAGCAUCCCCACCAUGACAGGCACCCGAGGUCCUCCCCUUGAGGAGCUGAAGUUCAUUUUGGUCCCAGGGGUGCGUUUCUGACCAAGCAAGCAAGCCUAGUUUAGCAUCUGUACGUUCCCGUUGAGGGAGAGCCAGUUUGGUGUAGUGGUUAAGUGUGCGGACUCUAAUCUGGGAGA
Gekko japonicus is the source of this 613-nucleotide long non-coding RNA. RefSeq lists it as uncharacterized. The transcript is spliced from 5 exons. The record is from RefSeq and is a predicted model, not a curated record. NCBI's taxonomy places the organism in Eukaryota, Metazoa, Chordata, Lepidosauria, Squamata, Gekkonidae.